RNAcentral lists this ribosomal RNA (468 nucleotides) under uncultured bacterium. RNAcentral's name for it is "partial 16S ribosomal RNA". It matches the Rfam family "Bacterial small subunit ribosomal RNA", at positions 28 to 507 of the family's 1533-position model. The record is from RNAcentral.
GACGAACGCUGGCGGCGUGCUUAACACAUGCAAGUCGAACGGAAAGGCCCUGCUUUUGUGGGGUGCUCGAGUGGCGAACGGGUGAGUAACACGUGAGUAACCUGCCCUUGACUUUGGGAUAACUUCAGGAAACUGGGGCUAAUACCGGAUAGGAGCUCCUGCUGCAUGGUGGGGGUUGGAAAGUUUCGGCGGUUGGGGAUGGACUCGCGGCUUAUCAGCUUGUUGGUGGGGUAGUGGCUUACCAAGGCUUUGACGGGUAGCCGGCCUGAGAGGGUGACCGGCCACAUUGGGACUGAGAUACGGCCCAGACUCCUACGGGCGGCAGCAGUGGGGAAUCUAGCACAAUGGGCGGAAGCCUGAUGCAGCAACGCCGCGUGCGGGAUGACGGCCUUCGGGUUGUAAACCGCUUUCGCCUGUGACGAAGCGUGAGUGACGGUAAUGGGUAAAGAAGCACCGGCUAACUACGUG